Molecule: small nuclear RNA, 60 nt
Organism: Nomascus leucogenys (northern white-cheeked gibbon)
Lineage: Eukaryota; Metazoa; Chordata; Mammalia; Primates; Hylobatidae
Gene: U7
Rfam family: U7 small nuclear RNA
About the family: Animal histone pre-mRNAs are spliced by a different mechanism than nuclear pre-mRNAs and self-splicing introns. This processing involves the U7 snRNP, which contains only one RNA species: U7. The 5' end of U7 RNA is thought to base-pair to a conserved spacer element downstream of the cleavage site in histone pre-mRNA.
Source: Ensembl
CAGUGUUAUAGCUGUUAGACUUUGUCUAGCAGGCUUUCUGGUUUUUGCCAGAAAGCCCGU